Molecule: ribosomal RNA, 443 nt
Filed under: uncultured bacterium
Lineage: Bacteria
Description: partial 16S ribosomal RNA
Rfam family: Bacterial small subunit ribosomal RNA
Source: RNAcentral
CCUACGGGAGGCAGCAGUGGGGAAUAUUGGGCAAUGGGCGCAAGCCUGACCCAGCAACGCCGCGUGAAGGAAGAAGGCUUUCGGGUUGUAAACUUCUUUUCUAAGGGACGAAGCAAGUGACGGUACCUGAGGAAUAAGCCACGGCUAACGACGUGCCAGCAGCCGCGGUAAUACGUAGGUGGCAAGCGUUCUCCGGAUUUACUGGGGGGAAAGGGCGUGUAGGCGGGACUGCAAGUCAGAUGUGAAAACCACGGGCCCAACCUGUGGCCUGCAUUUGAAACUGUAGUUCUUGAGUACUGGAGAGGCAGGCGGAAUGCCUGGUGUAGCGGUGAAAUGCGUAGAUAUUAGGAGGAACACCAGUGGCGAAGGCGGUCUGCUGGACAGCAACUGACGCUGAGGCGCGAAAGCGUGGGGAGCAAACAGGAUUAGAUACCCUGGUAGUC